AACGAACGCUGGCGGCAUGCCUAACACAUGCAAGUCGAACGAGACCUUCGGGUCUAGUGGCGCACGGGUGCGUAACGCGUGGGAACCUGCCCUUAGGUUCGGAAUAACUCCCCGAAAGGGGUGCUAAUACCGGAUAAUGUCUUCGGACCAAAGAUUUAUCGCCUUUGGAUGGGCCCGCGUUGGAUUAGCUAGUUGGUAGGGUAAAAGCCUACCAAGGCGACGAUCCAUAGCUGUUCUGAGAGGAUGAUCAGCCACACUGGGACUGAGACACGGCCCAGACUCCUACGGGAGGCAGCAGUGGGGAAUAUUGGACAAUGGGCGAAAGCCUGAUCCAGCAAUGCCGCGUGAGUGAUGAAGGCCUUAGGGUUGUAAAGCUCUUUUACCCGGGAUGAUAAUGACAGUACCGGGAGAAUAAGCUCCGGCUAACUCCGUG
This 433-nucleotide ribosomal RNA is filed under the name uncultured bacterium. Its description in RNAcentral is "partial 16S ribosomal RNA". It matches the Rfam family "Bacterial small subunit ribosomal RNA", at positions 29 to 507 of the family's 1533-position model. The record is from RNAcentral.